RNAcentral lists this ribosomal RNA (667 nucleotides) under Calanus hyperboreus. RNAcentral's name for it is "SSU rRNA". It matches the Rfam family "Eukaryotic small subunit ribosomal RNA", at positions 24 to 689 of the family's 1831-position model. Lineage: Eukaryota; Metazoa; Arthropoda; Copepoda; Calanoida; Calanidae. The record is from RNAcentral.
UCAUAUGCUUGUCUCAAAGAUUAAGCCAUGCAUGUCCAAGUACAAGCCUCACUAAGGUGAAACCGCGAAUGGCUCAUUAAAUCACACCUAAUCUACUGGAUAGUUAACAGUUACUUGGAUAACUGCGGUAAUUCUGGAGCUAAUACAUGCAAAAAGCCUCGAACUUACGUGAGAGGCGCUUUUAUUAGAUCAAAACCAAACGGCUUCGGCUGUACUCUUGGUGACUCUGAAUAACUUUGGGCUGAUCGCAUAGCCUUGCGCUGGCGACAUAUCCUUCGAAGGUGUGCCCUAUCAACUGUCGACUGUGGCAUAGACGCCCACAGUGGUUUUGACGGGUAACGGGGAAUCAGGGUUCGAUUCCGGAGAGGGAGCCUUAAAAACGGCUACCACAUCUAAGGAAGGCAGCAGGCACGCAAAUUACCCAAUGACCGAAGGUCGAGGUAGUGACGAAAAAUAACGAUCCAGGACUCAUCCGAGGCCCUGGAAUCGGAAUGAGUACACUUUAAAACCGUCCCCGAGGAUCUAUUGGAGGGCAAGUCUGGUGCCAGCAGCCGCGGUAAUUCCAGCUCCAAUAGCGUAUAUUAAAGUUGUUGUGGUUAAAAAGCUCGUAGUUGGAUCUCGGCAGUCUGAGGGCGGUUUGCUUGCUAGUAUUACUGCCCUAUAGACC